UAGAGUUUGAUCAUGGCUCAGAUUGAACGCUAGCGGGAUGCCUUACACAUGCAAGUCGAACGGCAGCACGGACUUCGGUCUGGUGGCGAGUGGCGAACGGGUGAGUAAUGUAUCGGAACGUGCCCAGUAGCGGGGGAUAACUACGCGAAAGCGUAGCUAAUACCGCAUACGCCCUACGGGGGAAAGCAGGGGAUCGUAAGACCUUGCACUAUUGGAGCGGCCGAUAUCGGAUUAGCUAGUUGGUGGGGUAACGGCUCACCAAGGCGACGAUCCGUAGCUGGUUUGAGAGGACGACCAGCCACACUGGGACUGAGACACGGCCCAGACUCCUACGGGAGGCAGCAGUGGGGAAUUUUGGACAAUGGGGGAAACCCUGAUCCAGCCAUCCCGCGUGUGCGAUGAAGGCCUUCGGGUUGUAAAGCACUUUUGGCAGGAAAGAAACGUCAUGGGUUAAUACCCCGUGAAACUGACGGUACCUGCAGAAUAAGCACCGGCUAACUACGUGCCAGCAGCCGCGGUAAUACGUAGGGUGCAAGCGUUAAUCGGAAUUACUGGGCGUAAAGCGUGCGCAGGCGGUUCGGAAAGAAAGAUGUGAAAUCCCAGAGCUUAACUUUGGAACUGCAUUUUUAACUACCGGGCUAGAGUGUGUCAGAGGGAGGUGGAAUUCCGCGUGUAGCAGUGAAAUGCGUAGAUAUGCGGAGGAACACCGAUGGCGAAGGCAGCCUCCUGGGAUAACACUGACGCUCAUGCACGAAAGC
Molecule: ribosomal RNA, 758 nt
Filed under: Achromobacter xylosoxidans
Lineage: Bacteria; Pseudomonadati; Pseudomonadota; Betaproteobacteria; Burkholderiales; Alcaligenaceae
Description: bacterial SSU rRNA
Rfam family: Bacterial small subunit ribosomal RNA
Source: RNAcentral